AUACGAAAGGGGCUAGCGUUGUUCGGAAUUACUGGGCGUAAAGCGCACGUAGGCGGCACUGUAAGUUGGGGGUGAAAUCCCAGGGCUCAACCCUGGAACUGCCUCCAAAACUACAGAGCUAGAGGAUGUGAGAGGAUAGUGGAAUUCCGAGUGUAGAGGUGAAAUUCGUAGAUAUUCGGAAGAACACCAGUGGCGAAGGCGACUGUCUGGCACAUUUCUGACGCUGAGGUGCGAAAGCGUGGGGAGCGAACAGGAUUAGAUACCCUAGUAGUCC
Molecule: ribosomal RNA, 274 nt
Filed under: uncultured bacterium
Lineage: Bacteria
Description: partial 16S ribosomal RNA
Rfam family: Bacterial small subunit ribosomal RNA
Source: RNAcentral